RNAcentral lists this ribosomal RNA (1372 nucleotides) under uncultured bacterium. Its description in RNAcentral is "bacterial SSU rRNA". It matches the Rfam family "Bacterial small subunit ribosomal RNA", at positions 28 to 1381 of the family's 1533-position model. The record is from RNAcentral.
GAUGAACGCUGGCGGCGUGCCUAAUACAUGCAAGUCGAGCGAACGGACGAGAAGCUUGCUUCUCUGAUGUUAGCGGCGGACGGGUGAGUAACACGUGGAUAACCUACCUAUAAGACUGGGAUAACUUCGGGAAACCGGAGCUAAUACCGGAUAAUAUUUUGAACCGCAUGGUUCAAAAGUGAAAGACGGUCUUGCUGUCACUUAUAGAUGGAUCCGCGCUGCAUUAGCUAGUUGGUAAGGUAACGGCUUACCAAGGCAACGAUGCAUAGCCGACCUGAGAGGGUGAUCGGCCACACUGGAACUGAGACACGGUCCAGACUCCUACGGGAGGCAGCAGUAGGGAAUCUUCCGCAAUGGGCGAAAGCCUGACGGAGCAACGCCGCGUGAGUGAUGAAGGUCUUCGGAUCGUAAAACUCUGUUAUUAGGGAAGAACAUAUAUGUAAGUAACUGUGCACAUCUUGACGGUACCUAAUCAGAAAGCCACGGCUAACUACGUGCCAGCAGCCGCGGUAAUACGUAGGUGGCAAGCGUUAUCCGGAAUUAUUGGGCGUAAAGCGCGCGUAGGCGGUUUUUUAAGUCUGAUGUGAAAGCCCACGGCUCAACCGUGGAGGGUCAUUGGAAACUGGAAAACUUGAGUGCAGAAGAGGAAAGUGGAAUUCCAUGUGUAGCGGUGAAAUGCGCAGAGAUAUGGAGGAACACCAGUGGCGAAGGCGACUUUCUGGUCUGUAACUGACGCUGAUGUGCGAAAGCGUGGGGAUCAAACAGGAUUAGAUACCCUGGUAGUCCACGCCGUAAACGAUGAGUGCUAAGUGUUAGGGGGUUUCCGCCCCUUAGUGCUGCAGCUAACGCAUUAAGCACUCCGCCUGGGGAGUACGACCGCAAGGUUGAAACUCAAAGGAAUUGACGGGGACCCGCACAAGCGGUGGAGCAUGUGGUUUAAUUCGAAGCAACGCGAAGAACCUUACCAAAUCUUGACAUCCUUUGACAACUCUAGAGAUAGAGCUUUCCCCUUCGGGGGACAAAGUGACAGGUGGUGCAUGGUUGUCGUCAGCUCGUGUCGUGAGAUGUUGGGUUAAGCCCCGCAACGAGCGCAACCCUUAAGCUUAGUUGCCAUCAUUAAGUUGGGCACUCUAAGUUGACUGCCGGUGACAAACCGGAGGAAGGUGGGGAUGACGUCAAAUCAUCAUGCCCCUUAUGAUUUGGGCUACACACGUGCUACAAUGGACAAUACAAAGGGCAGCGAAACCGCGAGGUCAAGCAAAUCCCAUAAAGUUGUUCUCAGUUCGGAUUGUAGUCUGCAACUCGACUACAUGAAGCUGGAAUCGCUAGUAAUCGUAGAUCAGCAUGCUACGGUGAAUACGUUCCCGGGUCU